UUUAUCUUCUCCAAACUAAUUUUUCACGUUGUCUUUGUGUUGUUUCAACCUUCCGAACUCUCAUUAAUUUUCUCAAUGGCGCCUGACCGUCGUUUUGGCGCCACGGCUUUCAAUUCACUUCCAUAUUUCUGCUUCAAUGAUCUUUUCU
Non-coding RNA from Caenorhabditis elegans, 148 nucleotides. The record is from Ensembl. Lineage: Eukaryota; Metazoa; Nematoda; Chromadorea; Rhabditida; Rhabditidae.